GAUGAAGAACGUAGCGAAAUGCGAUAAGUAGUGUGAAUUGCAGAAUUCAGUGAAUCAUCGAAUCUUUGAACGCACAUUGCGCCAUUUGGUAUUCCUUAGGGCAUGCCUGUUCGAGCGUCAUUUAAACCUUCAAGCUCAGCUUGGUGAUGGGUGACUGUCCUCCCCUCGCGGGGGGACUCGCCUCAAAAACAUUGGCGGCCGGUACAUUGGCUUCGAGCGCAGCAGAAACGCGGUCUCGAAUCCGGUGGAUCGGCUCCCAUAAGUCUAUUCUUUUAUUUUGACCUCGGAUCAGGUAGGGAUACCCGCUGAACUUAAGCAUAUCAAUAAGCGGAGGA
This 335-nucleotide unclassified non-coding RNA is filed under the name soil metagenome. RNAcentral's name for it is "partial contains 5.8S ribosomal RNA, internal transcribed spacer 2, and large subunit ribosomal RNA". The stretch from base 1 to 120 matches the Rfam family "5.8S ribosomal RNA", at positions 35 to 154 of the family's 154-position model. The record is from RNAcentral.